RNAcentral lists this ribosomal RNA (400 nucleotides) under Aliarcobacter butzleri. RNAcentral describes it as "bacterial SSU rRNA". It matches the Rfam family "Bacterial small subunit ribosomal RNA", at positions 355 to 772 of the family's 1533-position model. Lineage: Bacteria; Pseudomonadati; Campylobacterota; Epsilonproteobacteria; Campylobacterales; Arcobacteraceae. The record is from RNAcentral.
UGGGGAAUAUUGCACAAUGGACGAAAGUCUGAUGCAGCAACGCCGCGUGGAGGAUGACACAUUUCGGUGCGUAAACUCCUUUUAUAUAAGAAGAUAAUGACGGUAUUAUAUGAAUAAGCACCGGCUAACUCCGUGCCAGCAGCCGCGGUAAUACGGAGGGUGCAAGCGUUACUCGGAAUCACUGGGCGUAAAGAGCGUGUAGGCGGAUUGAUAAGUUUGAAGUGAAAUCCUAUAGCUUAACUAUAGAACUGCUUUGAAAACUGUUAAUCUAGAAUGUGGGAGAGGUAGAUGGAAUUUCUGGUGUAGGGGUAAAAUCCGUAGAGAUCAGAAGGAAUACCGAUUGCGAAGGCGAUCUACUGGAACAAUAUUGACGCUGAGACGCGAAAGCGUGGGGAGCAAA